Molecule: long non-coding RNA, 651 nt
Organism: Sorghum bicolor (sorghum)
Lineage: Eukaryota; Viridiplantae; Streptophyta; Magnoliopsida; Poales; Poaceae
Exons: 3
Source: RefSeq, a predicted model, not a curated record
AAAAAUCCCAUCGCGAGCCGCCACCCGUAGCUCCCUCCAUCUCUCGCCGAAGUUUGCAAAAGCUAGGUUUCCGGCGAACUCUCCGGUGAGUUUUUCCGGCAAAACCAUGGCGUCCCGGCGUUAGCCAUCACCAUGAAGAGUUUCAUCUCCGGCGAGAAACCUCCAUUGCUGGUGAGAUCGACCUUGUUUUUCCUGCGUUCUUCGGCAUUUAGGGCCCUUCCUCGGCUUGUCCUGAUCACACGCCACCGGCCACCGGCGCCCUGGCCAGUGUGACGCCGUGUCCUGCGUCGGCGCCGCCAGCGCACCGUCCUUGUGCUCGCUCGAGCAGGGCGAGGCCUCGUGCCCUCCCCCACUUGCUACGGCUCGAGCAGGUCCCAGCCGUGACCCGUGGGCUCCUCCGCGCUGCAGCUGCACGCCGCGCACCAGGCGGCCAAGGUCCGACCGAGCCCUUCCUUCCCACGCACAGCACGAGCAGCAUGUUGUCCUGGUUCGGUCCGUACAAAAUCUCAAGAAGAAGCGUGGUUCGUCAGCAUUGAAGAUCAGGCGCUGAGGACCGAUAAUCGAAGCAGAAGUUGGAGAUCAGAAGAAAGAAGCCAAAGAAUUCUGAGCAGAUAAACACUGGGAAUUAAGGCAAGUGCAGGCACCCUUUGA